CGGGAUUAAGUGUCCUGCUUUGCAGGAAACUUGCAUACAGGUGCUGCACGGCUGUCGUCAGCUCGUGUCGUGAGUAAGUGGGUUAAGUCCCGCAACGAGCGCAACCCUCGUCCUUAGUUGCAAACAGUUCGGCUGAGAACUCUAAGGAGACUGCCUACGCAAGUAGGAGGAAGGUGAGGAUGACGUCAAGUCAUCAUGGCCCUUACGUCCAGGGCUACACACGUGCUACAAUGGGGUAUACAAAGAGCAGCAAUACGGUGACGUGGAGCAAAUCUCAAAAAUGCCUCCCAGUUCGGAUUGUAGUCUGCAACUCGACUACAUGAAGUUGGAAUCGCUAGUAAUCGUAGAUCAGCUAUGCUACGGUGAAUACGA
RNAcentral lists this ribosomal RNA (372 nucleotides) under Aliarcobacter butzleri. RNAcentral describes it as "bacterial SSU rRNA". It matches the Rfam family "Bacterial small subunit ribosomal RNA", at positions 996 to 1370 of the family's 1533-position model. Lineage: Bacteria; Pseudomonadati; Campylobacterota; Epsilonproteobacteria; Campylobacterales; Arcobacteraceae. The record is from RNAcentral.